UACCAAAUAGAGGAUUGUGUGUUAAUUACGGUAUUCCAUUACCAAAAGUCUGUUGGUUCAUUGAUGAGAAUGGCUGAAUAUGGCUGGUUCGGGGCUGCUGGUUGUAUGGCUGGUUGAAUUCAGGCUGUAGGUCAUUGGUAGGCAGAGGAGAGGCAUAUGGGAGCAACUGGAGGUGCGGCAUCUUUGAAUAUUAGCCUGGCAAUCACUUGCCUUCCAAGCCACUUGAUCACCUUCCUCUCUGAUCUACAAGUCUCCAUUAUCAAGCAUCACGAGAGUCUGCAACUUCAACCCAUCAGCGUUACUAUACCAAACUGGCCUGCCCCCAUCAUAAAUCUCAAGGCCAAAGAGAAAAUCAGAAACACUACCUAGUGAGAGCUGAGGGCUAUCAAAUUAACUCUUGCUAUCCGAAAAAGAUCAAAGCAGCGCUACCAGGUAAGAAGAUAGCAAUGUUCAAGUCAUGCUCAGCAGCACCAGAUGACAAUGUUAAGCAAGAACCCAAAAAAUGUUAAGCAAAAUGUCAGAAGGCAUCCACACCUUGGUAUUCUCUCCCCUUUCUGUGUUGAUGGAAUCAAGUCACAAGCCUGGCCACUAUUUUUAUUUCAAUUUAGUCAUGCUGAUUGAAUUUUAUCAACCAAUCAAUUAAGCUGUUAUAAAGAAAUAUUGAGAAUGAUUUCUUAAAAAGAAAUGAAAUUUAAAAUUUAAAAAUAAGAAAAAGAAAAAGAAACAUUAUGAACCAUCACAUUUCUUCGAACAUGUUGAAGGGACACAACUUUUGCUACUUUCUUCCUUUUAUUCAUUUUUGGUGAGUGCCUUGAGAGUUCUUUGUUUUAUUCGUGUACCGUUGAUGAGUGCCUUGAGAGUUCUUUGUUUUAUUCGUGUACCGUUGAUGAGUGCCUUGAGAGUUCUUUGUUUUAUUCAUUUACCAUUGAGUGUGUGUUGUCUUCGUCGCUGGUGGCAUGCUCAAGGUAUGUCGUCCCCUUUGUUCAUUUCACAGUGAUAAUGCAUCAUGAUGGCAGUCUCUUCACAUUUUCUUGUAAUCUUUUCAUUUGUAUUUGUUAAUAAUUAUGGUUAUGGAUGUAUGCACAUGUGUAAUGGGUUCAAGCAUGCAUCUUUAUAUGAUGAUCAUGAUGGAAAACGUACCAUGCAUGACGUAUAUUUUCUCUCCACCGCAUGCCACCACCAUUUAUACCUUAGAUGCAUCGGUAGUGCCUUUGCACAUACAUGCUUAACUAAAAUUCAUACUAUGGCUUAGAAUAAUGAUAGUAAAAACAUGAUUUACAUAGAUAUAAUGGCAGCAUGGGACUUAUUGGAUGCCUCUGCCUGAAAGCUGAAGAGUAUCUCGUCGGGUAGAGUUCAUUAAAAAAAAAAGAAACAAGAAACGACAAAUUCACCCACCCGCACGAACACGUAUAUCUGUCAUCAUUGUUUUCAUCGUGGUUUUCUUCUUGCCUCUGUACUUCUUCAAUAGUUUUUACUGUGUAUAAUAAUCUAGAACAAAUAAUAUAAUAAUGAUGUUAAGUGGAAACCAAACAUAGAGAAAGAAAUAAGCACACAUAUGAGGUGGUGAUGAGGCAGCUGCAUUAUGUAAUGAUCUGGCAGUGCACUACUGAUCUAUGUCAAAUUGUGAAUUGUGCGAUUUACAAAUUUUUAAAUGACUUUUGUACUCUUCAUAUUUGUGAAAGAUCUAUUUGAUGGUUUAAUUUAAAUCAUCAUUUAAUGUUGUUUGUUUGGAGUUAUUUAGUAACAAUGCCCAAUGAUUUUAGAAAUUAGAGGUUGGAAGGGUUUUUCUGGAAUGCUUUAAUUUUAAAUUAAAAUGUUUUGGAGAAAAAAUUGGCCUUAAAAAUUAUGGUCAUUACAAACUUUGUUUAGAGAUUGCUGUGGUAUCUGAUUACCUAUUUCUUCUUUCCAACUACUGCAACUCUUGCUGAAGGCUUCCCAAGACAAGCGGGUUUGUAUGCAAAGAAGCUGAAAUGGGCUUGAAUGCCAUGGUGAAGUCCUCCCCUACACUUCCUCUAUUGACUAAGCUGGAACAUUUUGUGAACCAUUCCAAUUUUAGAGUGGAAGCAAAGGCUGUUGUUUCCAUCUCUAACUAAAUCUCGAAAUUGGUAACCACUUGUUAUUGUUCUUUACUAGCCAAACAACAUUGCCAAACAUUUCUAGUGAUCAUCUAUAAAAUGGUCACAAGUCUAAUCUGAGUCACAUAGCUCUUUGAGACAUGAAACUCCAUGCUUUUGAUCAUGGCAAUUGACAAGCAACCAGGUUUGAGGGUGAAAAGUGACUGUAACAGUCACAAGAACCAUCACUUAGCACUAAGGCCACAAGGAAGAAGAAGAAUAUCUUAUUGAAUUGCUGAACUGCUGCAAAUGCUUACAAUGAAUACAAAAAGGAAUUAGCAAAAAGGAAAAAGCAGCAAGGACGAGCGCCAUUGGACUAGUACCAACUGCUCCUAUAGGAGCCGUUGGAACUAGCCAACAGCCUAUUACACAAAAUAAUAAAAAACUAAAAUAAAAAGCUAAAAUUUACAUUAAUUCCUAUACUUCAAGUACUCACACUAAAAACAUAUGAACAUAUAUUAUCUAUAGUCACAUAUGUACAUAUACAUACAUGAAAAAUAGGUAACAUAUGCAUAUGUAUUUAAUGCAAAUACUAUAUCUCUUAACACCUCCCCUCAAACUUAUGGUGCUAUUACCAAAAUUUUGUCUAAAAAAAAUUAAAUCUGAGUGAACAUACAAGUUUAUUAAAGAAAUCAGCCAGCUGGAAUUCAUAAGGAACAUAGGGAAGCUUGGUAGUUUUCUUCAGAAAUUCUUAACACACAUAAUGGCAAUCCAUUUAUAUAUGCUUGGUACAUUCAUGAAAUAUAUGAUUCUUAGUACAAUAAAUUAGAACUUUUGUUAUCACAGUACAACUUAGUAGGUUCUUCAAUUUCCAUUCCCAUUUUAAUAAGCAUUUAACGUAGCCAGAUGAUUUCCAUGGUUGUAGAGGCCAUGACACGCCAUUCAACUUCUAUAGAGGAAAGAGAAACCUUCUGUUGCUUCUUGUACUUCCAUGAAAUGAGUGAUUCUCCUAAAAAAAUGUCAAAUCUAGUGGUUGAAUGUCUAUUAUUUAGAUCUCUUCCUUAAUCAACAUUAGUAUAAGCAAUUAAAUCAAGGCAAGAAGAAGAAGCGAAAAAUACUCUCUUGUUUAUCGUUCCUUUGAUAUAUCUGAAAUGCAAAUAAUAACUCCCAUAUGAACGAAUAAUGAAGCAUAUUUGAUGGUGACCCUCAUAAUGUAAGGCCUGGUUGAUGGUUUCAAUCAAUUGAGAACAAUUACUAUAAGUCAUAGCACAUGGCCAGUGGUUCUCAUUGUCUGUAAUUUACCCCCAUGGAUGGUUAUGAAGCAACUACUAGAACAUAGAGAAACAAAGAGUUUUUGAAAAGAUGUUUAUAGAGGUUCGAUAUACACCCACAUCAUCUUCUCUAAUCACAGCUUGCUUGCUGAGUUGAGGUUCCAUUAUGUUUUUAUAGAUGUACAAGACUCAACGGUUCUAGGGUUAUAAUUUUGGAAUACACAGUUUCUUUCUUUUAUAGAUUUAUAGACAUUAAUUCUUUCUCACUUUCUUUCCUUUGUCAUCUGGUGUCUUAACAGCAACCAUAUAUGAUAUUAAGUUUGUUAAUUGCUGGUCCAUCUUGUACUAGAAAUGAUAUAGACGUAUAUUUACAACUUCUCAUUGAAGAAUUGCAAGAGUUGUACAAUGAAGUGAACACAUAUGAUGCUUAAAAAAAAACAUUCAAGAUGUGUGUUGCUUUUCUUUGGACAAUUAAUGAUUUUCUUGCAUAUACUAAUUUAUCAAGGUGGAGUACCAAUGUAGAUUUGCUUGCCCCCAUUGUCGAACCGAGAGCAACCCUGUUUGGCUGAAGAAUAGCUGAAAAUUUUGUUAUAUGGGUUAUCAUCGAUUUUUACCAUUUGAUCACAUGUACUGAUUUGCUAGACAUUCAUUUGAUGAAGAUUUUGAAUCUCGAGAUGCUCCAAUAACCACUUUUGGAUUAUUUAGAAGUGUAAUAGACCACAAAUAUAUUUGGAAAAAACAACAACAGAGUUCAACUGUCAACAAUGUCAUUAAAUUGGAAGAAAGUAUAUUUGUUGAGUUGUCAUAUUAGCAACACAAUGAAUUACAACACAAUUUAGAUGUCAUGCAUAUUGAGAAGAAUGUUUGUGAUAACAUUUUGUAUACGUUGUUGAAUGUAGAAGGGAGGACUAAGUAUUCUUACAAGACUAUAUUAGAUUUGCAAGAUAUGAACAUUAGACAUGCACUUCAUCUAAUCAAUAUUUCUAAUUGCAAUAAAGCUCAUAUACUACCUGCUUGCUUCUCAAUGAUGAGAGAUGAGAAAAAAAUCUUUUGUGGAGUUUUGAAAAAGUUAAAAGCUCUUGAUGGUUUUGCAUCAAAUAUCUCAAGAUGUGUGCAAAUGAAAGAAAUGAAAUUAGUGGGUCUCAAUAGUCAUGAUUGCCAUAUUCUAAUGCAUCACUUUCUUCUAUUGGCAAUUAGAAAAUUACUGUUGAAAGAUGUUGGCUUGGUAUUGGUUGAGUUUUGUAGAUUUUGCAAGAAGUUAUGUUCAAAAGUAGUGAGUGAAAAUGACUUCUAGCAAUUAGAUAAAAAAAUUAGUAUUAUACUUCGCAAACUUGAGAAAAUUUUUCUAUCUUAUUUUUCUUUUAUAUUAUGGUGCAUCUACCAAGCCAUUUGGCUCAAGAAGCAAAUUUAAGAUGACAUGUGCAAUAUCGUCGGAUGUAUCUGAAUAAAAGGUAAAUGAGUGUCAAGUGAACAUGAUAGAUUGUUUAUUCUAUUUCUAAUAAUAUAAUAUAUACACUUCAUACGUUCAUGUUACAGGUGUCUUAUGACACUUAGGCUGCGUUUGAUGCACAGGAAAAAUCCUGUGCAUCGGUUGAAAAUGGUACGAGAGGUAAAAAUUUACAAUGUUAGGUGGUGAGUGCAUCAAACGUCAAUAAAUUUACCCUGCAAAAAUGGUAUGACCGUGGAGAUUUUAACCUGCAAAAAAGUCUGACCUCUUGAGGUCGGACUUUUUUGGAGAGAUAUUUUUGAGAGCCGUUACGCUCUCUCGUUCCUUUCAGCGCUUCUUCCCCUCUCACAGGCUCUUCCACUGCGUCUCCCCUUCUUCUUCAACUUCAACACCCUGACCUGCGGAAGAAAGGUGCUCUAGGCUUCCAGCCCUAAUCGUUCCACUACGUCUCCCCUUUUUCUUCAACUGCAACGCCCUAACCUGCGGAAGAAAGGUGCUCCAGGCUUUCAACCCUAAUCGUUCCACUGCGUCUCCCCUUCUCUCUCUCUCUCUCAUUCAUUUGUUGUCUUCAAUGUGCUAGUCCUCAAAGUUCUUGAGCACCUCCGUCGUAGAGUGGUGGGAGAUCUCGGAUAGGCUGCCAGCAGUGCUUGUGGUGGAAGAGGGCUUCUUUGGAGAGGAGGAAGAGGUGAGGAUCUGAGUGAAGGUCUGGAAGAGCUUGAGGAAGAGAGGAACGAGGAGGAACUUUAUCAAGUUGGAGAGCACGCCUUUGCCUUUGGGAGAGAUGCAGGAGGAGUCAUCGUCAGAGGAACAUCGCCAUUUUGGUCCUUCUGCCAAUGUUAAAAAGAGACAUGGUGGUACUUGGUAAUGGAGGAAGAGGGGUAAUGGGACAGUCAUGAAAAAGACUACCUUUUUUUGCACAGAUCUUUGUUCAGACAUGUUAAGAUGAUCUGUCUGGGUUGUUGAUCCAUCCUCUCCUAUAUGAGCGCCUCUUUGAGUUGGAGAUGCAGGUCAAGUCUUAGUGUUGAAAGUCAUAGCAGCAAUGCUAUUAAUUUGCUAUGCGUAAAGGAGUAGAAAUAACUAGCUAGACCAAAAUGGCGAUGUUCAGUUAAAUUCCUUCUGCUUUGGCUUAUUUAUUGGUAGGCAAAGGGAAAUGGCUCGAAAACGGAAGAGCUAUUUCCUGGUUCCAAGUUCUGGAUGGUGAUUAACAAUUACAAAGAUUUUUCAGUGUCGAGCGUUGCCAAAUGACAAUAAACUUGAAAAGUGCAGUGAAGGACCUAUAGAUUUUCUAGAAAUUGUAGAUUGUGAGAAGCAGCUGGUAGCAUUCUCUGUUUUGGGUUUCUACUAUAGCCAUCGACUUAUGCUCAAGGUCACUCUUUCAUUAGUUAGAGGCCGUUUCAAUUUAUAUUCACAUGAAAUUGGAGGAGAACCAAUAACACAAUAAUUUUUAACGGUUAGGAAAAAAAUCGUUUCAAUUUAUAUUCACGUGAAAUUGGAGGAGAGCCAAUAACACAACAAUUUUUAACGGUCAAGAAAAAAAUCUCUAUUAAUUUUUACCAUGUACAUCAAACACAGUUAAAUUUACUGUGCAAAAAACUUCCCUGUAAUAAAAAAGGGCCUCAAAUCGGAAGAGGGUUAAAUUUCAUCCUGUAUUUUUUUCUAGAAAAAUUUACCGUGGUAAAUUUACCAUGUUAAAUUCUUCCUUGCAAUCAAACACACCCUUAAGUCACAUGUGUGUAAUAAAAGUCAUCCAAAGUGUUCAAUGAAUGUUUGACAUCUUGUUUUGAAUAUUAAGAUGAUGUCGAAAUUAAGUUAAAUCGUCUUGCAUGCAAUAAAUAUGAUGAAUAUGAAGACAGCAAUGGGUCAUCUACGUUAUUAAAAAAGAGACAACCUUUAGAAAAAAGAAAAAGAUUUGGUCAUUAUUGAUGAUGCCACAUUGAAGCAGGCACACCUAUAUGUUCUAUUCAAACAUCCCCUAGUCACAACAAAUAAAAUUGCUUUCAAAUUAGAUGAUACUAUAUUCUUUUCAUUAAUUUAAAGAAAACUAUUUUAACUUUUUUUUCCUUUCCCAUAGAUGCCACCGUGAAAUGUUUUCACAUAAAUGUAAAAGGUGACAUAGUGUAGAGAUAGCUUACAAAGAAGAGUUUCCAAAAUGGUUCAGAGAACAUGGAAGUUGUUGUGGUAUCUUGUUGUUAAAUUAUCACAUACACAACUAUUACUUCAUAAAUCUAUUGAAUAAUAACAAUUAUCAUGUUCCUGUAGAUUCAUUAUGAACGAGAGAAUUGAAGAGAAGUAUCAAAAGAAAUUAGGUAGUUGUCUCAAGGACCAUUGAAGAUGAAAAAAAUGUACAUGGGAUUCAUUGUCAAUGGAUUUAGAUUCCACACAAAAGAGAAAGAGAAGAAGAGAAAAACACAAAAUAGUGUUGUUGUUGUUUGUGCAUGGUUGUAUCAUUAUUUGAAUAGACAAAAUGCAAAUCCUUAGUUAAGAUAAGUGUCAUAUUAUUGCAUUUUUUAAGAUAUUACUGAGAUAGAGUCUUUUGAACACAUUAGGUUUGUUAUGUUCAAAUGAAAGUGGUUUGAUGUAUUCUCACCACUUAGUCGUAGCACCAAAAAAGAUGAAUUUGGAUUCACAAUGGUGAAUUCAAAGUACACUUGUAUGGAAGAUGAACCAUUUACAUUAGCUCCUCAAGUGAACCAAGUUUGCUAGAUCCAGUCGACUAUGACUGGAACACUGUUUUUUAUAGAUUCCUAGAGAUUUAUACAAUAUGCCACAUCAUUCCCAACAAAAUGAUGGAUACAAUUUGAGUGUAAUUCCCAUAUAUGUCAACGGAUAGUUCUAACCAUGACUGGAUCAGGAUAAACAUAGAUGGGGAUGACAUUGACAUACAUGAGCAAGGGCAUAAUAAGGGUGAAAUAGAUGAGGAAUAUUGUCUUUCAUUGGUAAGUCAUUACUUUCAAAUAGUUAAAUGCAUAAUACCAUUCAUAAUAACUCAUUUAUUUUUAUUUUUGUUCAUUCAUAGUACUCAUGUUUUCUCUUCACCUUAUUAGAUUUCAUAAUGAUUGGAGAAAUGAAAGAUUCAAAUCAAUAUGUUGUGGAUGUGCCAUUACUAGACAUUGUUCCUGACACUGAUGACCAAUAUGAUCUACCUUUGUCAAUGAUCAUAUCUAACAUUAAAGAACAAGAUGAUCUACCAUCACUAGAUGUCGUUCGUGACACUGAGUACUAUCAAAUGUUCUCCCUAAAAGUAAUACAAAAUGAUGAAUUAUUACAAAUAGUACUAGAUUCUGAAGAUGAUGAUGAUGAUUGUGUAUGACCAAGAAAAUGGAUGAAAGCACAUGAUGCAAGUUCUCUUAUUAAAAUAGAAGAACCUAGCGAGAACAUUAAUGUUUUUUUGUGGAUUUACUUUCCUUCUUAUGUUGAUUAGUUGUUUUUUUGUGCACAUGAUUUUGUUUCAUGUAAUAAGAACAACUAAAGAACAACUAGAACUCAUAUUUUUGGUUUAUAUGAGAGAUUGUUGAUGUUUGCAAAUUUUAAUUAUUUUCCAUAAUUUCUUGUUAUCUCUAUAUGUGCUCAUACAUGACAGGUUUUCAUCAUUAUGAGCCUCAUUGAAAACAAUACACUGGCCUCUUCUCCAAAAGGUGGAAACACUAAAGCUUCUAAUAUUAUUGAUGGAAAUGAAAUUAGAAAGUAUUACAACUGCCAGCUCUCCUGCUCGUGAUGCGCUUGAAGAGCAAUUACCCCCUUCAUCCACCAGUACGGGAGGUCAAAUGAGCUCAAAAACAACAGGGGGCAUUGACUGGUUCAUCUAGUGGAAGAAGAUCCUACCCAUCACAUGUCUCAAAUGUUCAUAAUAUUAUGGAUAUAAAUGUUCAUAUGCAAUUGAUGGGAAGACAUCCUCAAAUUGUUGUCAUGUGAUAGAAGAGGUGGGAGAUGCUCCUACAUGAGAUGCUUCACGGGGUACGGGUUCAAGAAUGUAUUUGUCCUUUGUAUAUUAAAGUUAUGUAUUAUUCUUAUUUGAUAAGAGGAUACAGCUGGGUCAU
Long non-coding RNA from Nymphaea colorata (pocket water lily), 8809 nucleotides. RefSeq lists it as uncharacterized. Lineage: Eukaryota; Viridiplantae; Streptophyta; Magnoliopsida; Nymphaeales; Nymphaeaceae. The record is from RefSeq and is a predicted model, not a curated record. The transcript is spliced from 3 exons.